This 172-nucleotide small nuclear RNA is filed under the name Dipodomys ordii (Ord's kangaroo rat). RNAcentral describes it as "U2 spliceosomal RNA (ENSDORG00000023130.2)". It matches the Rfam family "U2 spliceosomal RNA". Rfam says of the family: U2 is a small nuclear RNA (snRNA) component of the spliceosome (involved in pre-mRNA splicing). Complementary binding between U2 snRNA (in an area lying towards the 5' end but 3' to hairpin I) and the branchpoint sequence (BPS) of the intron results the bulging out of an unpaired adenosine, on the BPS, which initiates a nucleophilic attack at the intronic 5' splice site, thus starting the first of two transesterification reactions that mediate splicing. The record is from RNAcentral. Lineage: Eukaryota; Metazoa; Chordata; Mammalia; Rodentia; Heteromyidae.
CUUUGUUCUCUGCCGUUGGGUUAUGAUCAAGCGUCCUGUCUGCUCUUAUCAGUGUAAUAUCCCAUCUUCCUCCAUCUGAGGACACUUUAUGAAAUGGAUUUUUGGAGUGAGGAGAUGGAAUAGGAACUUGUCUGCUCAUUGAGACUACUAACCUGGUUCCUCUGGAAACCAA